CCUACGGGGGGCAGCAGUCGGGAAUAUUGCGCAAUGGAGGAAACUCUGACGCAGUGACGCCGCGUGCAGGAAGAAGGUUUUCGGAUUGUAAACUUCUUUAGACAGGGAAGAAACAAGACAGUACCUGUAAAAUAAGCCCCGGCUAACUACGUGCCAGCAGCCGCGGUAAUACGUAGGGAGCAAGCGUUAUCCGGAUUUAUGUGGGGUAAAGGGUGCGUAGACGGGAAGUCAAGUUGGUUGUGAAAUCCCUAGGCUUAACUGAGGAACUGCAACCAAAACUAACUUUCUUGAGUGCUGGAGAGGAAAGUGGAAUUGCUAGUGGAGCGGUGGAAUGCGGAGAUAGUAGGAGGAAAACCAGUGGCGAAGGCGACUUUCUGGACAGUAACUGACGUUGAGGCACGAAAGUGUGGGGAGCAAACAGGAUUAGAUACCCGUGUAGUC
This 441-nucleotide ribosomal RNA is filed under the name uncultured bacterium. RNAcentral describes it as "partial 16S ribosomal RNA". It matches the Rfam family "Bacterial small subunit ribosomal RNA", at positions 338 to 795 of the family's 1533-position model. The record is from RNAcentral.